RNAcentral lists this ribosomal RNA (378 nucleotides) under uncultured bacterium. RNAcentral describes it as "bacterial SSU rRNA". It matches the Rfam family "Bacterial small subunit ribosomal RNA", at positions 524 to 898 of the family's 1533-position model. The record is from RNAcentral.
CACGUAGGGGGCGAGCGUUGUCCGGAUUUAUUGGGCGUAAAGAGCUCGUAGGCGGCUUUGUCAGUCGGGUGUGAAACCUCCAGGCUCAACCUGGAGCCGCCACCCGAUACUGCAAUAGCUAGAGUCCGGUAGGGGAGCAUGGAACUCCUGGUGUAGCGGUGAAAUGCGCAGAUAUCAGGAAGAACACCAGUGGCGAAGGCGGUGCUCUGGGCCGGAACUGACGCUGAGGAGCGAAAGCGUGGGGAGCAAACAGGAUUAGAUACCCUGGUAGUCCACGCCGUAAACGUUGGGCACUAGGUGUGGGUCUCAACCAACGAGAUCCGUGCCGAAGCUAACGCAUUAAGUGCCCCGCCUGGGGAGUACGGCCGCAAGGCUAAA